RNAcentral lists this non-coding RNA (97 nucleotides) under Nocardia brasiliensis. RNAcentral's name for it is "Glycine sequence". It matches the Rfam family "Glycine riboswitch aptamer". Rfam says of the family: This family represents the bacterial glycine riboswitch. Glycine riboswitches usually consist of two metabolite-binding aptamers domains with similar structures in tandem. The aptamers cooperatively bind glycine to regulate the expression of downstream genes. Lineage: Bacteria; Bacillati; Actinomycetota; Actinomycetes; Mycobacteriales; Nocardiaceae. The record is from RNAcentral. RNAcentral also lists the same sequence under 1 other name.
UCGGGCAACUCUGAAAAGUAGUGUCCGCAUCGACACUCGCCGACGGGGCAAGCGCGGUCCGCGUGAAUCUCUCAGGCCAUAGGACAGAGCGGGAGGA